CCUGCGGAAGGAUCAUUACAGAGUUCAUGCCCGAAAGGGUAGACCUCCCACCCUUGUGUAUUAUUACUUUGUUGCUUUGGCGAGCUGCUCUUCGGGGCCUUUGUAUGCUCGCCAGAGAAUAUCAAAACUCUUUUUUAUUAAUGUCGUCUGAGUACUAUAUAAUAGUUAAAACUUUCAACAACGGAUCUCUUGGUUCUGGCAUCGAUGAAGAACGCAGCGAAAUGCGAUAAGUAAUGUGAAUUGCAGAAUUCAGUGAAUCAUUCGAAUCUUUGAACGCACAUUGCGCCCCUUGGUAUUCCGGGGGGGCAUGCCUGUUCGAGCGUCAUUUCAACCCUCAAGCUCAGCUUGGUAUUGAGUCCAUGUCAGUAAUGGCAGGCUCUAAAAUCAGUGGCGGCGCCGCUGGGUCCUGAACGUAGUAAUAUCUCUCGUUACAGGUUCUCGGUGUGCUUCUGCCAAAACCCAAAUUUUCUAUGGUUGACCUCGGAUCAGGUAGGGAUACCCGCUGAACUUUAAGCAUAUCAAUAA
RNAcentral lists this ribosomal RNA (525 nucleotides) under Sclerotinia sclerotiorum. RNAcentral's name for it is "eukaryotic LSU rRNA". The stretch from base 170 to 325 matches the Rfam family "5.8S ribosomal RNA". The record is from RNAcentral. Lineage: Eukaryota; Fungi; Ascomycota; Leotiomycetes; Helotiales; Sclerotiniaceae.